RNAcentral lists this ribosomal RNA (389 nucleotides) under uncultured bacterium. RNAcentral describes it as "bacterial SSU rRNA". It matches the Rfam family "Bacterial small subunit ribosomal RNA", at positions 975 to 1368 of the family's 1533-position model. The record is from RNAcentral.
CUACCCUUGACAUGCUAGGAAUCUUGCAGAGAUGUGAGAGUGCUCGAAAGAGAACCUAGACACAGGUGCUGCAUGGCCGUCGUCAGCUCGUGUCGUGAAAUGUUGGGUUAAGUCCCGCAACGAGCGCAACCCUUGUCAUCAGUUGUUACGAAAGGGCACUCUGAUGAGACUGCCGGUGACAAACCGGAGGAAGGUGGGGAUGACGUCAGGUCCUCAUGGCCCUUAUGGGUAGGGCUACACACGUCAUACAAUGGCCGGUACAGAGGGCUGCCAACCCGCGAGGGGGAGCCAAUCCCAGAAAACCGGUCGUAGUCCGGAUCGCAGUCUGCAACUCGACUGCGUGAAGUCGGAAUCGCUAGUAAUCGCGGAUCAGCUUGCCGCGGUGAAUA